This is a long non-coding RNA of Helianthus annuus (common sunflower), 248 nucleotides long. RefSeq lists it as uncharacterized. The record is from RefSeq and is a predicted model, not a curated record. The transcript is spliced from 3 exons. Lineage: Eukaryota; Viridiplantae; Streptophyta; Magnoliopsida; Asterales; Asteraceae.
AGGGGAGUUCCCUUCCAAGAACCCUAACUCACAAAAAUUGCCAAAAUCAAAGAGAAAUCAAGCCAAGAAUUUGGGGCUUUUAAUAAAAUCGUGAUCACCAAGCUUAGGGGAUCACAAGUUUGACGCGCAACAAGCUAGGUGGAAGCUUGAUGAGGAAGCGGGUCAAACGGAGCGCGUACGGAAAGAAAAGCGUGGCAUGGAUGCAAGGUACAUUUUGGAUGCCGAAAGACGAUCAAGCUCAACGAAGA